This 99-nucleotide signal recognition particle RNA is filed under the name Sulfuritalea sp. RNAcentral describes it as "signal recognition particle sRNA small type". It matches the Rfam family "Bacterial small signal recognition particle RNA". From Rfam's summary of the family: The signal recognition particle (SRP) is a universally conserved ribonucleoprotein involved in the co-translational targeting of proteins to membranes. Archaeal SRP consists of a 7S RNA and homologues of the eukaryotic SRP19 and SRP54 proteins. In most bacteria, the SRP consists of a 4.5S RNA and the Ffh protein (a homologue of the eukaryotic SRP54 protein). The record is from RNAcentral. Lineage: Bacteria; Pseudomonadati; Pseudomonadota; Betaproteobacteria; Nitrosomonadales; Sterolibacteriaceae.
GGCGGGUCUCCCCGCAUUGUGGAAUGGUGAAUCGGGUCAGGUCCGGAAGGAAGCAGCCACAGCCAACAUCCGCAAGUGCCGGGGGUCAGGCUCGCCACC